GAUUAAUACCCCAUAGGAAGCUUUAUCCAUGAUUUAGCUUUUAAAGCCUUCGGGCGCUGAGGGAUUGGGAUAUGCUCUAUUAGCUAGUUGGCGGGAUAAAAGCCCACCAAGGCAAUGAUAGAUAGCUGGUCUUAGAGGAUGAACAGCCACAAUGGGAUUGAGAUACGGCCCAUAUUCCUACGGGAAGCAGCAGUAGGGAAUCUUCCACAAUGGACGAAAGUCUGAUGGAGCAAUACCAUGUGAACGAUGAAGGCCUUUUUGGUUGUAAAGUUCUUUUACGAGGGAUAAUUAUGAUAGUACUUCGUGAAUAAGUGACAGCAAACUAUGUGCCAGCAGCUGCGGUAAUACAUAGGUCGCAAGCAUUAUUCGGAUUUAUUGGGCGUAAAGCAAGCGCAGGCGGAUGUGUAAGUUCUGUGUUAAAUGCAGCUACUCAAUAGUUGUAUGCACCGAAAACUACAUGUCUAGAUGGUGGUAGGGAGUUUCGGAAUUAAGCAUGGAGCGGUGGAAUGUGUAGAUAUGCUUAAGAACACCAGAGGCGAAGGCGGAAACUUAGGCCAUAAAUGACGCUUAGGCUUGAAAGUGUGGGGAGCAAAUGGGAUUAGAUACCCCAGUAGUCCACACCGUAAACGAUGGGUAUUAGAUAUUAGGGCUUUAGCUUUAGUGUUGUAGCUUACGCGUUAAAUACCCCGCCUGGGUAGUACAUAUGCAAAUAUGAAACUCAAAGGAAUUGACGGGGACCUGAACAAGUGGUGGAGCAUGUUGCUUAAUUCGAUAAUACACGAAAAACCUUACCAAGGUUUGACAUCCCUCGCAAAGCUAUAGAAAUAUAGUAGAGGUUAUCGAGGUGACAGGUGGUGCAUGGCUGUCGUCAGCUCGUGUCUUGAGAUGUUUGGUUAAGUCCCGCAACGAGCGCAACCCCACUCUUUAGUUACUUGUCUAAAGAGACUGCACAGUAAUGUAGAGGAAGGAUGGGAUCACGUCAAGUCAUCAUGCCCCUUAUGCCUUGGGCUGCAAACGUGCUACAAUGGCGAACACAAUGUGUUGCAAACCAGCGAUGGUAAGCUAAUCACCAAAUUUCGUCUCAGUUCGGAUAGGAGGCUGCUAAUUCGCCUCCUUGAAGUUGGAAUCACUAGUAAUCCCGUGUCAGCUAUAUCGGGGUGGAAUCC
RNAcentral lists this ribosomal RNA (1166 nucleotides) under uncultured Mycoplasma sp. RNAcentral's name for it is "bacterial SSU rRNA". It matches the Rfam family "Bacterial small subunit ribosomal RNA", at positions 161 to 1369 of the family's 1533-position model. Lineage: Bacteria; Bacillati; Mycoplasmatota; Mollicutes; Mycoplasmatales; Mycoplasmataceae. The record is from RNAcentral.